This 689-nucleotide unclassified non-coding RNA is filed under the name Hevea brasiliensis (rubber tree). The record is from RNAcentral. Lineage: Eukaryota; Viridiplantae; Streptophyta; Magnoliopsida; Malpighiales; Euphorbiaceae.
GGUUUAUUGAAUAUUAUAUAAAUUUUAUUUCUUUACAAGAGGUUAGGUCUCAAGUAUAAGAGAAACUCUAUUGAAUUUUUAUUAUAAUUGUAGGAUGGUUAAUUGUUUUCGUUAAGCUUGCUUUUGUUUGUUAUUGAUGAUUGUCUGGUAUAUGUGUUUAGGUGAUCCAAGUCUACCUUCUCUCUUCUCCCUGUUGGAUCAGUGAGUUAUGAGAUUGCCAGUUUGUGUGCUAGCGUCAAACAUGCAUUUAGCAUCAAUAUUAUUUGAUAUCAUGCCAUGUUCAUGCAUUUUUAUACUUAUAUUGUAGUUACAUAUAUAGUGACAUGAAAUGAUUAACGCAUUAAUUGUUAUAUAUGCUAUGGGUGAAAGUGCUACAUGAAAUGAUUUACGUAAUUUUUGUUAUGCUAUGGGCCUUGGGAAUAGUUUAGAACUCCUAACAUGUGAUAGACCAUUAAUUGAACUUGCUUUCCAGCUAGGAUUAUAUAUAUUUGGAAAAAAGAUCAAAUAAGACCCUGUACUUUUAAUCGAUGGAUAAAUAAAUCCAAAAUUAAAUUUUGAGCUAAAUAAGGGCAAAACUUUUUAAUUAAAGCGAAAUAGCCUAAUUUUUUGCUAAAAAAAUGAAAUAUUAUUUUCUCUUAUUUUUUUAGUAAUAAAAUAUUAAAAAUCAUACUUUUAAUACCAAAUAAUUU